This 454-nucleotide ribosomal RNA is filed under the name Clostridioides difficile. RNAcentral's name for it is "partial 23S ribosomal RNA". It matches the Rfam family "Bacterial large subunit ribosomal RNA", at positions 2469 to 2925 of the family's 2925-position model. The record is from RNAcentral. Lineage: Bacteria; Bacillati; Bacillota; Clostridia; Peptostreptococcales; Peptostreptococcaceae.
UGGGGAUAACAGGCUUAUCUCCCCCAAGAGUCCACAUCGACGGGGAGGUUUGGCACCUCGAUGUCGGCUCAUCACAUCCUGGGGCUGUAGUAGGUCCCAAGGGUUGGGCUGUUCGCCCAUUAAAGUGGUACGCGAGCUGGGUUCAGAACGUCGUGAGACAGUUCGGUCCCUAUCCGUCGCAGGCGUAGGAAAUUUGAGAAGACCUGUCCUUAGUACGAGAGGACCGGGAUGGACGUAUCUCUGGUGUACCAGUUGUCCUGCCAAGGGCAUGGCUGGGUAGCUAUGUACGGAAUGGAUAAGCGCUGAAAGCAUCUAAGCGCGAAGCCAACUUCAAGAUAAGAUUUCCCACCGCAAGGGUAAGACCCCAGAAAGACUAUCUGGUUGAUAGGUCGAAGGUGUAAGUGCAGCAAUGUAUUUAGCUUAUCGAUACUAAUAGGUCGAGGACUUGACCAAU